GACGAACGCUGGCGGCGUGCUUAACACAUGCAAGUCGAACGGUGAAGCGCCUUCCUUUUUGGUGGGUGUGGAUGAGUGGCGGACGGGUGAGUAACACGUGAGUAACCUGCCCCCUUCUUCUGGAUAACCGCAUGAAAGUGUGGCUAAUACGGGAUAUUCUGGGUCUGUCGCAUGAUGGGUCUGGGAAAGAUAUUGUUUCGGUGGGGGAUGGGCUCGCGGCCUAUCAGCUUGUGGGUGGGGUGAUGGCCUACCAAGGCGGUGACGGGUAGCCGGCCUGAGAGGGUGGACCGCCACACUGGGACUGAGACACGGGCCAGACUCCUACGGGAGGCAGCAGUGUGGAAUAUUGCACAAUGGGCGCAAGCCUGAUGCAGCGACGCCGCGUGAGGGAUGGAGGCCUGCGGGUUGUGAACCUCUUUCGCUAGUGAAGCAGGACUGCCUCGUUUGUGGGUGGGUUGACGGUAGCUGGAGAAGAAGCGCCGGCUAACUACGUG
Molecule: ribosomal RNA, 494 nt
Filed under: uncultured bacterium
Lineage: Bacteria
Description: partial 16S ribosomal RNA
Rfam family: Bacterial small subunit ribosomal RNA
Source: RNAcentral